UUUUUUUUUUUUUUUUUUUUCUUUAUUCCAAAGGUUGUGGUCUACCCGAAAUUAUGCCUGUGAGUAAGAGAGUUGCUGUCUAAAUGGUCAGGGAAAGAAUGGAACUAACACUUGAGAGUUUGAAAAGAACCCUCGAGUUUGGCAAGGAUACUAUCUUUAUAGAUAAGAAAAGGGGUUCAGAGAAUUUUUUUUUAACAUUGCAAGCUUACAAACCUGGUAUGCCAGUUAUCAGUUUGUAAUGUCUCAGCGUCAAAUCCAGUCUUCACUGCCAGGUAUUCAGCAACAGAGAUAGAGCCUAUGUAUUAUGUUGCUAGGGUUGCCAUAACAAAAGACCACAGACUGGGUGGUGUAAAUAACAGAAGUUUAUUUUCUCAUGAUUCUGAUGGCUGGAAGUCUGAGCUCAAGAUAUUGCAGGGAGAGAGAUGGGAUCAAUAUGGCAGAGGAGUAAGACAUGGAGCUUAUCUUCUCCCACACACACAUUAAAAAAAAAAAUCUACAUGUAGAGUGAUUCACACAGAACAUCUACCGAAUGCUGGCAGAAAAACUUAACCCUCCAAAAAGGACAAAAAAUCCCUCCACAUAUAACUGGGAGAACAAAAGGAAAAAAAGAGAGAGAGAGAGAAAGAUAAAGAUAUAAAAAGAAUUGGGAUGGGACACAGCACUCCUGAGAGGGAGCUAUGAAAGAGGAACAGGACCCACACCCUGGGAAGCUACCUAACAGGGAGCUCAGCUGAGACCGAACAACCUCAAAGCCUCAGAGAAAAAUGCAGCACCUAGCUUGAGGAGGACAAAGCAGACAGAGAGCCAUGAAGACUAUUGGUACCACUGCCCCCAGACACCACAGCCUGAGAUGCUCAGACAGGGGUUGGGCACUGAGACUUGGGCUCCAGAGGUCAGUUCUGGGGAGAGGGCUAGGGUUGGUUGUGUGCAGACAGCCUGAAGGAGAUAGGGAGCAGUGAACUAAGGGCUGGAGAGCAGAGUACCACAGCCAAGGGAACUGGGAAGCAGGUCUGGGCCCGUAGGAAAAGAAAGGUGCCAUUGUUGGGGAGGACAAGAGGAGGAGAAUCAUAUUGCCAUAGGAAUAUCUUUCUCUGUGCACAUGCAGACUCUUGGAGAGUGGGGCUAUGGGCAGCAAGGGACUUCUUAUAUGCGCUAAGUGUGACAAGAAGCUCCUUGCAUGGUCUAUAGGUGGUGGGAGCAAACCACCAGAAUUAUCCCUGACUCCAGAGUUAGGCAUGGCCUGCCACCACUAGGGGUCUGUGAACAGGCACCACCUAAGGCCCCAGUCACUUCAGAGGAUGGCACACACAGAGGAAGGCACUGCAACUAAGUACCACCCAUUGUUAUUCUCUAUCCCCUGGGAACACACACACCCUGCCAUUGUCACUACCAAAUGUUCCAGGUACCACCUAAACCUAUCUGAAGCUCACAGCCACUUCCCAGGGCCCAGCAACUAGGAGCAGCCUGCACCACCUUUCCACAAGUCCUUGCUACUCUCAAGAGCCCAGCAACCAGGCACUGGCUACCAUCCCUACCCAUUGUCUCCAUCUCCCUGGAAGCAUGUGCAGCACUCUAUCAAGGGGAUAACAGCCUGCACACACUGAAGAAAGAGACAGGAAGCAUCCAAACCCUCACACCAAAAAUAAAUAGUAAGGCCUCACAAAAUACCCAGGGGUACUCUCGCAUAUAACUAGCCCUCCAAGACCAUAGCAGUUUGUUUCCCCAAACUCACAGAAUAAGAGAAAUAUAAGCAAAAUGAAGAAGCUCAGGAGCCAUUCCUGGUUGAAAGAACAGAAAAAUUCACCUGACAGAACAAACAAUGAAACAGAACUCCGCAGUCUAAUAGACACUGAGUUUGAAAAGGAGAUAGUGAAAAUACUGAAGGAAUUAGGGUAAAUAUGAAGGAAUUAAGAGCAAAUGUGAACAGUAAUGCAGAUUACUUUAGGAAAGAACUGGAAAAUAUAAUGAGGAGCCAAAAAAAAUUAGGAAAUUCAUUUGAAGAGAAGCAAACUGAGUUAAAGGCACUGAAGAACAGAAUGAAUAAUGCAGAGGAAUGAAUUAGUGACUUGGAAGACAGAAACAUGGAAAUCAUACAAUCAGGACAGCAGACAGAAAACCAAAUGAAAACACAUAAAAGCAAUAUAAGAGAUUUUUGGGAUAAUAUAAAGUAGGCCAAGCAUAAUAGGGAUUCCAGAAGAAGAAAAAGAAAAGAGGAUUGAAAAUAUAUUUGAAGAAAUUAUAGCUGAAAACUUUACAAAUCUAAAGGAAACAGCUAUCAAGAUAAAGGAGGCACAGAGGUCACCAAACAAGUUGAAUCCAAACAGGCCCACAUCAAGAUAUAUUAUACUAAAAAUGGCAAAAGUUAAAGGGAGGAUUCUAAAGGCAGCAAGAGAAAAACAAAGAGUUAAUUAUAAGGGAAUCACCAUAAGGCUAUCAGCUGAUUUCUGAACAGAAACAUUACAGGCCAGAAGAGUGUGGCAAGAUAUAUUCAAAGUUUUAAAAGGGAAAAUUCUGCAGCCUAGAACACUUUAUCCAUCAAGGAUAUCAUUUAAAAUAGAAGGAGAGGAGUUCCCGUCGUGGCGCAGUGGUUAACGAAUCCGACUAGGAACCAUGAGGUUGCGGGCUCGAUCCCUGCCCUUGCUCAGUGGGUUAACGAUCCGGCGUUGCCGUGAGCUGUGGUGUAGGUUGAAGAUGCAGCUUGGAUACGGUGUUGCUGUGGCUUUGGUGUAGGCUGGCAGCUGCAGCUCCGAUUUGACCCCUGGCCUGGGAGCUUCCAUAUACCAUGAGUGCAUUCCUAAAAAGCAAAAUAAAAAACAAACAAAAAAUUAAAAGAAAAAAAAACUAUUGUAAAAGUGACAAUAAACACAAGGAACCACAAAAGGAUAAAUAUGAAGACAUUUAAAAAGGACAUCAAAAUCAUAAAAUGUGGGGAUGGAAAGUAAGAAAAUCUAGGCUCUUUUUUCUAGGAUGCACUUGAACCUAUAAGACUAUGAGGCUAAAGCAAGCAGAUAUAGAAAGCAGGUAACAAAAAAUUUAAAAAAAAAAAACGAAAACAAACAAACAAAAAAAAAGCAGUUAACAUUUGAAAAACAGGACAACCACAAAUCAAAACAAAUAAUACAUUCAUAAAAACUGCAAAGAAGAGGACACAAGCAUAGAGGAAAACAUCCAACCAAAAAAAGAAAGGAGAAAGAAGGAGAAGCAUGGAAUCAGCUGAAAAACAAGGUUUAAAAUGGCAAUAAAUGCAUAUUUAUCAAUAAUUAGCUUAAAUGUCAAUGGACUGAUGCUCCAAUCAAAAGACAAAGAGUGGCGUACUCAAUAAAAAAACAAGCGUCUAUAAAAUGUUGCCUGCAAGAGACUCACCUUAGGACAAAGGAUACAUAUAAAUUGAAAGUGAGGGGAUGGAAAAAGCUAUUUCAUGAGAAUGGGAAAACAGGAAAUCGGGAGUUGCAAUACUCAUAUCAGACAAAAUAGGCUUUAAACCGAAGCCCUUAAAGAAAGACAGAGAGAUGCUGGCAGGAUUAGUUUCAUUCUGAAGACUUUUAUACUUGGCUUAUAUUUGGUUGUUUCCUGCUUUUGCCUUCCCAUGGUCUUCUCCCUGUAUAUUUCUUUAUCUUAUUUCCUCUUAUAAAGGCACCAGAAAUAUCAGAUUAGGGCCCAGCCUACUGACCUCAUUUAAUCUUAAUUACACCUUUAAAAAUGCUGUUUUUGAAUAUAGUCAUUUAUAAGGUACUGGGGUUAACGACGUCAACAUAUGAAUUGGGGGGAGGGGGGUAAAAUUCUACCCAAAAGACCCUGUAAAUAUUUCUCCUUUGCAGCCUGUGUGGUGUUAAGCUUUGUCAACAGAAGGUGCUGAAGGCACUCAGUGGAGGAAGAGGUUUUUCUCCCUGGUUCUGCGUGCUUCUCUACAUAGUCUCUUGCAGCAUGGCUGGUUUCCACAGCACAUAGUUCCAGCAGCAUCCACCAAGCAGCAGCACAAGGCAGCUCCCCACAGACAGAUCCUUCCAGCCUCCUCUUUGGAGUCUUUUUAGUGAUGAGUUACCAGCAUGACACCUACCAUGAACAGGCUCUCCAGGCACUCAAAACCUGCCAGUAUGACACCUCCCUGUGGGUGGCUUCCUCUGAAUGCACCCAGGACCUUCUUGAAUGACCUAGCAGCCUCAGCAAACACCUCUGCCAUUGAGUGAGCCCUCUCUGAUGAAAUCUGAACCUCAGUCCUGGGGUAGAAGGAGUUUUCCCAGAUUUUUUCAUUCCUUGGGUAUUAUUCUUUCUCAUUCCUAGGCGUAGUGGCUGUCUCCUUUACCUGCAAGCCCUUUAUUCCCUAUAAUAUUUUACUCCUCACCAGUCAAUGCCCUGAUACCCCAAUUCCCUGUUAAUAAUUCUGUGUAAUAGUUAUUUUUUUCUUCAAAUUACUUUGAAGUAUCUGUCUCCUAAUUAUAGCUGAACUGAUAGGACUGAGAAGUGGAAUAAUCCUAUAAUAAAGAAAAAUGCACAGGUGCUCCUAAGGUGAGAAAAGAAACUGUAAAAACUAUCAUUCUUUGCAGAGGAUAAUAUCAUAUGUCCAGAACACCCAAUGGAAUCACCAGAAAAGCUACUGGAACUAACAAGAGUAUUCAAUAGGCUAGCUAUCUCAUACAAAUCAAUAGACUUCUUUAUGCCUGUAACGAACAUAGAAAAUGUAAAAGAGAAAAUUAGCAACCUACUUUUACAGCAAGAAACCAUUUUAAAGAAUCUAAGAAGUGUUUAUGAAAACAGAGAAUGCAUAAGGUCAUUAAAAAUUUAAGUGAUAUAAAUUAAAUUUAAAAUAGAUUAUUGUUUACAUGACAUCAAUGAAUAAGGAGAUAAAU
This 4847-nucleotide long non-coding RNA is filed under the name Sus scrofa (pig). RNAcentral describes it as "lncRNA (ENSSSCG00060063412.1)". Lineage: Eukaryota; Metazoa; Chordata; Mammalia; Artiodactyla; Suidae. The record is from RNAcentral.